RNAcentral lists this ribosomal RNA (468 nucleotides) under uncultured bacterium. RNAcentral describes it as "partial 16S ribosomal RNA". It matches the Rfam family "Bacterial small subunit ribosomal RNA", at positions 28 to 507 of the family's 1533-position model. The record is from RNAcentral.
GACGAACGCUGGCGGCGUGCUUAACACAUGCAAGUCGAACGGAAAGGCCCUGCUUUUGUGGGGUGCUCGAGUGGCGAACGGGUGAGUAACACGUGAGUAACCUGCCCUUGACUUUGGGAUAACUUCAGGAAACUGGGGCUAAUACCGGAUAGGAGCUCCUGCUGCAUGGUGGGGGUUGGAAAGUUUCGGCGGUUGGGGAUGGACUCGCGGCUUAUCAGCUUGUUGGUGGGGUAGUGGCUUACCAAGGCUUUGACGGGUAGCCGGCCUGAGCGGGUGACCGGCCACAUUGGGACUGAGAUACGGCCCAGACUCCUAAGGGAGGCAGCAGUGGGGAAUAUUGCACAAGGGGCGGAAGCCUGAUGCAGCAACGCCGCGUGCGGGAUGACGGCCUUCGGGUUGUAAACCGCUUUCGCCUGUGACGAAGCGUGAGUGACGGUAAUGGGUAAAGAAGCACCGGCUAACUACGUG